GCGGCGCUCAAGAUGGAAAUUCAUUUUUCAGCAGUACUGAAUAAAUUGUUUUAGGAUCAAGAAGAAAAAUGAUGAUUCCUAUCGGAGUUUCUUCAUCGAUGUGCACCAAUGUUUUUCUUCAUGGCGACAAAAAACUGAACAUUUCGGGCUGGUUAAAUUGUGCUGUACUAACCAAGAUGCAACAACUACAAAACUGAAUCGAAAUUGGGAGACAGCAAUUCCAAAUAAGAAUGUCGUUCCGUUUAUUUGUCACGAUAUACAUAUUUCACAACUCUUGGUUGACAAUAAUUUUACUCUAUUUUAUAAUAUAUCUUUAUUUCUCAAUAAAGUUUGCAUUUGUAUGUUAAUGACAAAAUUCAAUUUAAUUCAAAAUAGUCAUAAAGAAAUUUAAUAAAAAAGCUAGUCGAAAAGUCUAUGAAACUACUCAUUUUUGCGUAUUUUUUAGAAUAAUUGCUUCCAAGCUUGAAUACCCAAAUAUGGGUAUUGUCAGUUUACCUAUUUAUGAGUAAACCCGCUUUUUGGCGAUUAUGGGCAAACUUUACCCAUAUUUGGGUAGACUGUUCUUAGCGUGUACAUCUAGGGCACCCAUACCCAAUGUGAUCUAUAAGAGGUGAAGAGAAAGUCAUUGUGUGAUUGUAUUAGUACAAUAAAAAUCAAAACAAACAUUGAGGGGAAAAUGAGUGACGUCAUACCGUUUCAACGAAAUGCUGUGAGUGGAUGUAAAACACUCCAUAUCGUGGAACAAAUCAAGAUCACACCGUAUAAAUCUGCAACUAACACCUAGAUGAAAGAGUCGAAUGGGUAGAUUCCAGGAAUUAUGUUUUUUCACUAUAUUCACGGAUGAAAGAAAGCACUUUUCUUACUUUUUUCUAAUUAUAUUCAAUUUGAGCACUACAUUUAUGGAUGAAUUACGCAAAAUAUCCUUUGGAAGAAAGAACAAUUUCAGCCUAUUCCAGCACAUUAUCAGUUUUGAUGAUAUUUGGGUUGCCUUCCGUUGUUAUAUUUCCUCUGUUUUAUAAUAGAUUUCAUCCUAAAAUAAAGCAAAACUUAGCAUGAAGCAAACAACGCAUGAAUUACCUGAAAUGCCAUCUUUCUGCGACGAAUUUUUUCAUGUUGUUGUUUGAACAACAGCACACAGGACAACCUUGGUAACGAUAGGGUUGCUAGUAACGAUACCUCGAAAUAAAUCGAUAACAAACUGUAUGACGUCACGCAGUGGUGGAAUGCAAUGGGUUGCUGUGUGAAAAUUUAAGCGACCCACUAACACAUGCAAGCAGUUGUGUAUUACACAAAAUCAUCUCCUCACCUCUAAUAAAGCACAUUGACCCAUACCAUUGGGCGUGAUAACCACUAUAAUCGAGUAAAAAUAAGAGAGAACAGUGGCACGCAACAUGAUUUUUCCCAUUUUUCCACCUGAGCAAACUAAGAACAUUGACUACGGAGCUCAGUCCAGCAAUAAUGUUAAUCAUAAAAAGAUGUGAUCUUUUUCAAAGAAAAUUUUAUUAGUGUUUUCUAAGUUUUAUAUUGAUUUUUGUUUUUGUCGUGCAAAUGUGUAAAAAAAGAAAUGCUGAGAUCAAUGCAGAAUUUGAUAUCAUCAAAAAAUAUUGUAUAUAUAUAGGAAAUAUUCCAUUCUUUGCAUCAAAGAAUGAUGUGGUUGUCAAAUUUGCCGAAUACGGCGAAACAUGUAACAUAUAUAUGCAAUCAAAUAAACCACAUUGCGACGUUAAACCUGCAAUUGUUCGAUAUCGUUCGAGAAAAAGUGUAGACAAGUCUUUGUGUUUAAACAAUUCAAAAUUCGGCAACACGAUAUUAAUAGUUCUACCACUAAGUUUGCCUUAUUCAAGAUAUCUGCUGACCUAUGAUACUUGCAUUGUGGUAUAUAUUAAUGAUAAGAAUUCUUGUAAGACAUCAAUGGCUGAGCUAUAUGAUGAAUUUCAAAAAAUUGGUGAUAUUCAAAACAUGUUUAAAACGACAAAUAAUAUGAUUUAUAUAAACUUUGAGUCUGAAAAGUCUAUGCAAUUAUCUUUAGCUACUAAGCCCUUUUUAAUAAAUAAUAAUAUUUUCAAAAUCAAAAAAGUUGAACGAAACAUUAACAUGUGCGGUCUAAAUUCAGAAAGCCAGGAUUUCUCCACAAAUCUAAAAAAAAAACUUUUGUAUAAUCGCUCUAUUGGAAUAUUUGGAUUGCCAUCAAAUGCCACGGAAGAGCGAAUUGCACAAAUAUUUUCAAGGUUUGGCGACAUUCAAAAAAUUACAUUGAUAUGCGACGUAGUCGGCAACUCGAAGCAAUAUGGUUUUAUAUAUUACAAGAAACGUACUUCUGCUAAUGCUGCUAAAGUGAUAAUGGAUGGAGAAAAUUUUGAAGGAAAUAAAAUUUCCGUUCGAUUUGUCCCAGAAAAAAAAGUGUUUAAAAAUUAAUAAAGU
This is an RNA transcript of Aedes aegypti (yellow fever mosquito), 2421 nucleotides long. It is a transcript of the gene named RNA-binding protein rsd1-like, with no coding region annotated. The record is from RefSeq and is a predicted model, not a curated record. The transcript is spliced from 3 exons. Lineage: Eukaryota; Metazoa; Arthropoda; Insecta; Diptera; Culicidae.